Molecule: ribosomal RNA, 478 nt
Filed under: uncultured bacterium
Lineage: Bacteria
Description: partial 16S ribosomal RNA
Rfam family: Bacterial small subunit ribosomal RNA
Source: RNAcentral
GACGAACGCUGGUGGCGUGCUUAACACAUGCAAGUCGAACGGGAUUUAGUAAACAGAAGCCUCGGUGGAAGAUUACUAAUGAGAGUGGCGAACGGGUGAGUAACGCGUGAGCAACCUGCCUAUGACAGUGGGAUAGCCUCGGGAAACCGGGAUUAAUACCGCAUAAAAUCGUAGAAACACAUGUUUUAACGGUCAAAGAUUUAUCGGUCAUAGAUGGGCUCGCGUCUGAUUAGCUAGUUGGUGAGAUAACAGCCCACCAAGGCGACGAUCAGUAGCCGGUCUGAGAGGAUGAACGGCCACAUUGGAACUGAGACACGGUCCAAACUCCUACGGGAGGCAGCAGUGGGGAAUAUUGCACAGUGGGGGAAACCCUGAUGCAGCGACGCCGCGUGAACGAAGAAGGUAUUCGUAUCGUAAAGUUCUGUCCUAUGGGAAGAUAAUGACAGUACCAUAGAAGAAAGCUCCGGCUAAAUACGUG